This 221-nucleotide ribosomal RNA is filed under the name uncultured bacterium. RNAcentral's name for it is "partial 16S ribosomal RNA". It matches the Rfam family "Bacterial small subunit ribosomal RNA", at positions 524 to 743 of the family's 1533-position model. The record is from RNAcentral.
UACGAGGGGGGCGAGCGUUGUUCGGAAUUAUUGGGCGUAAAGGGUGCGUAGGCGGUUCCGCAAGUCCUGUGUGAAAUCUUCGGGCUCAACUCGAAGUCUGCACGGGAAACUGCGGGGCUUGAGUGUGGGAGAGGUGAGUGGAAUUCCCGGUGUAGCGGUGAAAUGCGUAGAUAUCGGGGAGGAACACCUGUGGCGAAAAGCGGCUCACUGGACCAUACUGA